CACGUAGGGGGCAAGCGUUGUCCGGAUUUAUUGGGCGUAAAGAGCUCGUGGGCGGCUUAGUAAGUCGGGUGUGAAACCUCCAGGCUCAACCUGGAGACGCCACCCGAUACUGCUGUGGCUAGAGUCCGGUAGGGGAGCGUGGAAUUCCUGGUGUAGCGGUGAAAUGCGCAGAUAUCAGGAGGAACACCAGCGGCGAAGGCGGCGCUCUGGGCCGGUACUGACGCUGAGGAGCGAAAGCGUGGGGAGCAAACAGG
RNAcentral lists this ribosomal RNA (254 nucleotides) under uncultured bacterium. Its description in RNAcentral is "partial 16S ribosomal RNA". It matches the Rfam family "Bacterial small subunit ribosomal RNA", at positions 524 to 776 of the family's 1533-position model. The record is from RNAcentral.